CCUACGUGGGGCAGCAGUGAGGAAUAUUGGUCAAUGGGCGCGAGCCUGAACCAGCCAAGUAGCGUGAAGGAUGACUGCCCUACGGGUUGUAAACUUCUUUUAUAAAGGAAUAAAGUGAGGCACGUGUGCCUUUUUGUAUGUACUUUAUGAAUAAGGAUCGGCUAACUCCGUGCCCGCAGCCGCGGUAAUACGGGGGAUCCGAGCGUUAUCCGGAUUUGUUGGGGUUACAGGGAGCGUAGAGGGGUUGUUCAGUCAGUUGUGAAAGUUUGCGGCUCAACCGUAAAAUUGCAAUUUCUACUGGCAUCCUUGAGUACACUUGAGGUAGGCGGAAUUCGUGGUGUAGCGGUGAAAUGCUU
Molecule: ribosomal RNA, 356 nt
Filed under: uncultured bacterium
Lineage: Bacteria
Description: partial 16S ribosomal RNA
Rfam family: Bacterial small subunit ribosomal RNA
Source: RNAcentral